UGGGGAAUAUUGGACAAUGGGGGGAACCCUGAUCCAGCCAUGCCGCGUGUGUGAAGAAGGCCUUAUGGUUGUAAAGCACUUUAAGCGAGGAGGAGGGUACUGGUAUUAAUACUACCAGGUACUGGACGUUACUCGCAAAAUAAGCACCGGCUAACUCUGUGCCAGCAGCCGCGGUAAUACAGAGGGUGCAAGCGUUAAUCGGAAUUACUGGGCGUAAAGCGCGCGUAGGUGGUUCGUUAAGUUGAAUGUGAAAGCCCCGGGCUCAACCUGGGAACUACAUCCAAAACUGGCGAGCUAGAGUAGGGCAGAGGGUGGUGGAAUUUCCUGUGUAGCGGUGAAAUGCGUAGAUAUAGGAAGGAACACCAGUGGCGAAGGCGACCACCUGGGCUCAUACUGACACUGAGGUGCGAAAGCGUGGGGAGCAAACAGG
Molecule: ribosomal RNA, 430 nt
Filed under: Pseudomonadota bacterium
Lineage: Bacteria; Pseudomonadati; Pseudomonadota
Description: Proteobacteria bacterium partial 16S ribosomal RNA
Rfam family: Bacterial small subunit ribosomal RNA
Source: RNAcentral